UGUGUCCUACGGGGCGCAGCAGUGGGGAAUAUUGGGCAAUGGGCGCAAGCCUGACCCAGCAACGCCGCGUGAAGGAAGAAGGCUUUCGGGUUGUAAACUUCUUUUCUGGGGGACGAAGAAAGUGACGGUACCUGACGAAUAAGCCACGGCUAACUACGUGCCAGCAGCCGCGGUAAUACGUAGGUGGCAAGCGUUAUCCGGAUUUACUGGGUGUAAAGGGCGUGUAGGCGGGACUGCAAGUCAGUUGAGA
This 250-nucleotide ribosomal RNA is filed under the name uncultured bacterium. RNAcentral's name for it is "partial 16S ribosomal RNA". It matches the Rfam family "Bacterial small subunit ribosomal RNA", at positions 333 to 597 of the family's 1533-position model. The record is from RNAcentral.